Molecule: ribosomal RNA, 435 nt
Filed under: uncultured bacterium
Lineage: Bacteria
Description: partial 16S ribosomal RNA
Rfam family: Bacterial small subunit ribosomal RNA
Source: RNAcentral
AGCGAACGCUGGCGGCAGGCUUAACACAUGCAAGUCGAGCGGGCAUCUUCGGAUGUCAGCGGCAGACGGGUGAGUAACACGUGGGAACGUACCCUUCGGUUCGGAACAACUCUGGGAAACUGGAGCUAAUACCGGAUACGCCCUUAUGGGGAAAGGUUUCCUGCCGAAGGAUCGGCCCGCGUCUGAUUAGCUAGUUGGUGGGGUAACGUGCUACCAAGGCGACGAUCAGUAGUUGGUCUGAGAGGAUGAGCAGCCACACUGGGACUGAGACACGGCCCAGACUCCUACGGGAGGCAGCAGUGGGGAAUAUUGGACAAUGGGCGCAAGCCUGAUCCAGCCAUGCCGCGUGAGUGAUGAAGGCCUUAGGGUUGUAAAGCUCUUUUGUCCGGGACGAUAAUGACGGUACCGGAAGAAUAAGCCCCGGCUAACUUCGUG